CGCCGGUGCGGGAACAGGUUCUGCGGGUGUGGACGGGGAGAGCAAAUUAUUCAGUCAAGUUCCCCACAUUUGGGAAAAUCGCAGUGGUCAGCACAUCUGUAGUGCGCUGGAUAAGCCUCACCCUGGAAAAUCACCUUCAUGAUUGUAGUAUCUUUCCCUGCCUGGAAGUACAGCACCACCCCUAUCAGAACCAACCCAACCAGGAUUCCAAUCACAAUGCCGGCAGUGGCUGCAGAAGACAGGCCCUGAGGCUUAGCUGUCAUGGGAAGAAAGGGAAGAAUGAACAAAGGUGACAUUAUUUCCCUGGAAACAACUCUCAAUUUGAAACUGUCCUUAAUUGUUCCUUUGAAGAAUUCAUUUUCUGUGGGAAGUUCACUCCCAGGCCAUACCAGCUGUGCUCAGAGUUGACUCCUGUGGUUCUGUGCUUGGGAUCACUCCUGGAGUGCUUGGGAUCCUAUGGGAUGCUGAGAAUCAAACUCAGCAUCAGCUACAUGCAAGGCAAGUGUCCUGCUGACUGUACUAUGCCAGAAAUGCACAAACUUCCAAUUAUAUGGGCAUGUACAUUUGCUAACCUAUCAUUAUACUAACCAUGACCUAUAGGCGUAAACCUACCAAUGAGCUCAAGUUUAAAAAUCAGCCAGUACUUAACUUUCCUUUUUAAAAUUUAAGCACAGUAAUACUUAAUACCUAAACCCUAUACAAUUCCUAAUCCUACUGCUAAUAUCCCUAACCCAUACUAAGCUUGACCAUUACUGAAUGCCAAAAAUGAGCAGUUAUAUUUAAUUUAAAGAUUUCCCUAAUCUUAAAAUUCCUUUUAAAACAUGAACACAGAAAAAGCUAACACCUGAAACCUCCACAAACCUAACCUUAACCCUAGCCCUAGGCUAGUUACCCUCACCAAAGCAUGAGCAAAAAUCUACAAAUUAGUCCAAAUUUAACAACAUUCAAUACUUCACUUGCCUUCUGAACUCUGAACACAGCAAAAAUUAACAGCUAAAAAAUCAAAAAUUAACAUCUAAAUUCCUACCCCUAACCUUACUAGACCUAAUCCUAACCCUAACCCUCACCCACACUAAGCCUGACCUUAAUGCCAAAAAAUAACAAUAUUCCUAAAUUGAAAGAUCUCCCUGUACUUAAAUUUCAUUUUAAAGUAUGAACCAUAUGGGAUGCUUGGAAUCAAACGUCCUACCCUCUGUGCUAACAGAGGAAAAGCUAACACCCCAAAACUCCACAAAUCUAAUGGUAACCCCAGCCCUAGGCUAAUCCUAAAGCUAAUCCUGAUAUUAUACUAACCCUGACCCAAGAAUAGGCAUAAAUCUAACAAUUAAUCCAAAUUUAACAAUCACACAAUACUUCACUUGCUUUAUUUAAUUUGUAUGCAGCAAUACUUAACACCCAAACCCUACACAAUCCCUAACCUAAUGCUAGCUCUAAUCCUAAUCUGAACCUGCGCCCAUACUAAAUCUGACGUUUACUGAUCCCAAAACUGACCAAUUAUCCUAAAUUUAAAGAUCUCCUAUAUUUGUAGUAAUCCCUGAGCACAUAGCCAGCAUUAAGCCCUGAGCACCUCUAGGUAUGCCCCACACACAACCAGAAAAAAAAAACCCCAAAAAAACCAAACAAACAUGGGUGCUAGUAAUUUCCUUUUUUAACAAAACCAUGUGUCAAAACUUUUGGGGGACAGGAGUGGGGUAUUAGUAUUUAUGGUCGUAGAAUUUAGGGUCUCCUCCCAGAUCUGUGCCUGUGAAUUAUUUCCUGUGGUGCUUGGGGAACCCUUUGGUGCUUGGGAUCAAAUCUGGGGGACCUACAUGCCAAACACACGCCCUGCCUCUGGAGAUGGUGGGUUUUAACAAAUCUCUACAUUAAAGGUAAUCCUCAACAACAAAUUCUCCUGGAUAAUUUUUUUAUUUUAUUUGAACACUGUAGUUUGCAAGGUUCAUAAUACAGUUGUACAGGCAUUCAGUAUUCCAACACUAAAGUAGUGUGACCUUCCCUUCACCAUUGUUCCCAUUUUCCCAACCACCAGAAGCCUGUCUUAAGUUAGUAAUCACAAAAUAAUUUAUUUUAUAUUUAUUGCUUAUUACAGCUAAAUGGCCAAUGGAAUGAUUAAA
Long non-coding RNA from Sorex araneus (European shrew), 2111 nucleotides. RefSeq lists it as uncharacterized. The transcript is spliced from 4 exons. The record is from RefSeq and is a predicted model, not a curated record. Lineage: Eukaryota; Metazoa; Chordata; Mammalia; Eulipotyphla; Soricidae.